This is a long non-coding RNA of Amphiprion ocellaris (clown anemonefish), 1133 nucleotides long. NCBI's taxonomy places the organism in Eukaryota, Metazoa, Chordata, Actinopteri, Pomacentridae. The record is from Ensembl.
UCAUGUUUGGCUCCUCCCCUAAAUGAAGCGUGCCUCGAUACGCGCUUCAUGGAAACGCCCUCUCCACUACUUGACACACGCUUCGAAGCCUCGGCAUAUCUCCUGCUGUGAGGGAACCGACGACUGAACCGGGCCAAGGAGAGACCGAACCUGCAACAGCUUCAUGAAGUCUCCUGGAUGGUUUUCCAAUAGCCUUGAAGAACUUCCCAGAGGUGCUGAGCAGCUGAUGGAGUUUCUCCUCAGUGGAGACGUUGAGGUGGAUGCCAAGAACUGGACUUUCUGAGAGCUGUAGCCUGUAUCGUAGAUGGGUUGCUUUGAAAGUUUUGGGACAGGACCUCCAUGGAGAUGCCAGGAUGCUCAGCGGAGUAACCAUCCCUCUCCAGCCUCCAAGAGCAUCACUAUACUCACUUGAACCAUAUACACUCGGAGGCUAUGCUGGAGUACCGGCUCCGUGUAACAGGAGGAGAUGACUGGGCCAUGUGGACCCUCGGUGCAGCGCUAAAAACAGCCUGACAGCUGUGUGUGAAGAGUGAGUAAAUGAAACUGAAACAGCACCUGACCAUGAGGUGUUUGAUGGGAAGUUGAUCCGUUUCAUCUGUGUGUGUUCAGUGGACAAACAAGGCUAGAUUCUCCCAGUAAAGAAGAGCUACAUCUUCUGGGAAUUUCAGUGAGGUCUUAUUUUUCUACUCCACUGACCUGCUACUCAUCCUAUAAAGUCUGUAUUUUGGAUCCAUUGAGUCUUGUUCAGAGUUUGGAAGUCAUUUUGCGGUGAGGAAUAGCUCUGAUGCCUCUUGAAUUCACAAUUUCUGCUGUCAAAUUUGUUAUGGGAAGAAUGUUGCACAACUCGUCAGAUUGCAGGCAACCUUUUAGAGAAGCCUCUACCAGCACUGUUGUUUUCUCUGCAGUUGUCUUUCUGGAGACAUAUGGAUCCUGCAGCUGUUUGAUGCUGCAGGUAUUCGAUGAACUCAAAACAGCUGGAAGCAACAGUCUAAACGUAAGCACAUGUUAAUGUUUUGUCAAAAAAAAGUGAAUUAUUUCUAUUAUUGUUGAAAAAGAUGUCAUUAAUCUGAGCUGUUAGUUUUUCUUCAUCACAGUAAUGUUUCAUUGUUAUGGACAUCUUAUUUUUUAGGCUA